GUGGGGAAUUUUGGACAAUGGGCGCAAGCCUGAUCCAGCAAUGCCGCGUGCAGGAAGAAGGCCUUCGGGUUGUAAACUGCUUUUGUACGGAACGAAACGGUCCUGGUUAAUACCUGGGGCUAAUGACGGUACCGUAAGAAUAAGCACCGGCUAACUACGUGCCAGCAGCCGCGGUAAUACGUAGGGUGCGAGCGUUAAUCGGAAUUACUGGGCGUAAAGCGUGCGCAGGCGGUGCUGUAAGACAGGCGUGAAAUCCCCGGGCUCAACCUGGGAAUUGCGCUUGUGACUGCAGUGCUGGAGUACGGCAGAGGGGGAUGGAAUUCCGCGUGUAGCAGUGAAAUGCGUAGAUAUGCGGAGGAACACCGAUGGCGAAGGCAGUCCCCUGGGCCUGUACUGACGCUCAUGCACGAAAGCGUGGGGAGCAAACAGGAUUAGAUACCCGUGUAGUCA
Molecule: ribosomal RNA, 450 nt
Filed under: uncultured bacterium
Lineage: Bacteria
Description: partial 16S ribosomal RNA
Rfam family: Bacterial small subunit ribosomal RNA
Source: RNAcentral